GCGUUAUCCGGAUUUAUUGGGUUUAAAGGGUGCGUAGGCGGCCUGUUAAGUCAGGGGUGAAAUUUUCCAGCUCAACUGGAAGCUUGCCUUUGAUACUGAUGGGCUUGAAUGCAGCUGAGGUAGGCGGAAUGUGACAAGUAGCGGUGAAAUGCAUAGAUAUGUCACAGAACACCAAUUGCGAAGGCAGCUUACUAAAGUGUGAUUGACGCUGAGGCACGAAAGCGUG
Molecule: ribosomal RNA, 226 nt
Filed under: uncultured bacterium
Lineage: Bacteria
Description: partial 16S ribosomal RNA
Rfam family: Bacterial small subunit ribosomal RNA
Source: RNAcentral